GGCAGCAUGCUCACACGUGGGCAGUUUACACCACCUACUUGGCAGGGCCGGUGGGGCAAAAACCCCACAGAGACCUGCAUCAUCUUGAAAGUGAAUUUGUUAGCAGAACGUGACAGGUAAUUAAGUGGAAGAAUUUGCCAGCCAGCUUAAUGAGCCAAGGGGGAGGUUGGUUUGUUCAUUUUUUUUUUCUGCUUUGCUGCGGUGCAUCUGUGCUAAGCUCCAGGGUGUUCCUGUGAAUCCCAGGCCCCAGUGGAUGAAAACACACCAGCCAGUGCCAAUCACGCAGCAUGUGACCAGACUGCCCGAGGAGGAGCAUGAUCAUCUGCUGCCACUAAACGGGUAACGUAGAUGAGACACUGGUUUACGUUGACAGGCCUUCGAGCUACGCUGCUGACGAAACAGACACAGACUCUGUCAUCCUAAAAAACUUUGACAAAUGAAGAAAUGCAUUACGGUAAUGCUGGCACUAUUAACAAACAGUGUAAUAUUGCUACUGUACGUGAUGCUGAAGGGUUAAACAAUACUGAAGGAAGAGUAUGGUGUAACUAAAGGGUUUAAGAAAUGCUGCAUUUCAGGUUCUGUGAGCAUGAGUUAUAGGAGCUGGGAGAAGUUGGGAAACAGUGAAGACACUGAAAGUGAUGAACUUGAAGAGAAUAACAGCUCAAAAUGAAGAACAGGUAAAAACCAAGAGGUAGUAGUAAUAAGACCUAAGAGAAGAAAAUAGACUAACUUCAGGCAAAUGUUUGUGAAAAAGUUUAUAUUAUACUGAUUGUAUAAUGAUUACAGGUAAGCAAUAUGAAAAACCUUUUUGUAUAUAACCUUUUCUGAGGGUGAGUCAUCUUAAAAAAAAAUCAAGAUUGUCUUCCUUUUAGGUUAAUACAGUAUUGCACACUGACAGGUUGUGUAUCCAUACUUUACAAAGGACUGUAUAGACAUCAAUGCAUGCUUUCAUUGAAAUACAAAGAGAACGGAACGUCUACUUUAAUCUUGUCCUAACUCAGGGCAGAUUUUAAGGCUCAGUUAUAAACUCAACAUCUUUACCCUCUCACCAAAAGUACACUUUGUGUUUUUAAAUUAUUCAGAGUACAGAGUGCAUGGUGCUAUUUGUAAAUGGCAAUGAUAAAUUUUAAAUAAUAAUGUAAAACAUAGUAUGACCCAA
Dromaius novaehollandiae (emu) is the source of this 1159-nucleotide long non-coding RNA. RefSeq lists it as uncharacterized. The record is from RefSeq and is a predicted model, not a curated record. Lineage: Eukaryota; Metazoa; Chordata; Aves; Casuariiformes; Dromaiidae. The transcript is spliced from 2 exons.